CUCAGGGAGGUAGUGACAAGAAAUAACAACACUGGAAAUUUUAUUUCUAGUGAUUGGAAUGAUGGGAAUUUAAACCCCUUUCAGAGUAACAAUUGGAGGGCAAGUCUGGUGCCAGCAGCCGCGGUAAUUCCAGCUCCAAUAGCGUAUAUUAAAGUUGUUGCAGUUAAAAAGCUCGUAGUUGGAUGUCUGCUGGAAGCAAUCAGUCCGCCCUAUUUGUAGGGUGUGCACUUGAUGAAUUCUGGCAUCUAUGUCCUAAUGUGAUAGAUACGGCGGUGUAUAUGGGUUAAUCCUAUAUACCCGUUUUUGUAUAUUAUAUUGGGAUAAUACCGUUACUUUGAGAAAAUUAGAGUGUUUGAAGCAGGCUAAUUGCCUUGAAUACUGCAGCAUGGAAUAACAAUAUAGGAUUUCGGUUCUAUUUUGUUGGUUUCUAGGACUGAAAUAAUGAUUAAUAGGGACAGUUGGGGGCAUUCGUAUUUAACUGUCAGAGGUGAAAUUCUUAGAUUUGUUAAAGACGAACUACUGCGAAAGCACUUGCCAAAGAUGUUUUCAUUAAUCAAGAACGAAAGUUAGGGGCUCGAAGACGAUCAGAUACCGUCGUAGUCUUAACCAUAAACUAUGCCGACUAGAGAUAGGAAAAUGUCAUUUUUCUGACUU
RNAcentral lists this ribosomal RNA (654 nucleotides) under Sarcocystis hjorti. RNAcentral's name for it is "SSU rRNA". It matches the Rfam family "Eukaryotic small subunit ribosomal RNA", at positions 455 to 1077 of the family's 1831-position model. The record is from RNAcentral. Lineage: Eukaryota; Apicomplexa; Conoidasida; Eucoccidiorida; Sarcocystidae.